UGAGAUAUAACCCAACCCCACAUGAAUGUUGACGUUGACAGAUGAGUUACAGUAGAAUGCUUGUGGAUAAGUCUGAAUUGAUAUAUUUUAGAAUUGAAGAUAUGUUUGAAUUUAAAUUAUAGAAGAGGCGUUAUUGUUUGAUGUGCAAUAUUUAAACAUGACGGAAGUAGAUGUGUUUAUUAGUAACUAUACUGUGGUAGAUCCAGAAAUUUACCAACUGUGGGUUGAUGGAUAUACUGCCAGUGAAGCAGUGAAUAUACUAAAUGGCAAAGGUCUUGGCCAACAAACUGGUGCCUCGAUUGAGCUAAUUGCCAGUGAUGUCUUGGAUCACUAUCGUACAUAUUCCUUACUCGAAAAACUGCUAAGUUAUCCCAAUAAGUUACAAGAGCAGUUUGUCUUACAAAUUGAUUCCCAGACCAGUUCAUUACUCGUUGAAAAAUACUAUGAAUUUGAUGAUGAGGUUAUUCGGGAGAUACUGGGUAAAAAAUUGUCUUCAAAAAAUAGAAAAGAUUUGGAUGAGGUGGCCGAAAAGACAGGAAAACCUUUGAAAUCAUGCAGGCGACAAUUUGAUAAUGUUAAAAAAAUAUUCAAAAGUGUAGAGGAGGUUCCUGGAUCUACUGUUGAAAAUGUUAAAAAUUCAUUUCAAUUGAGUGAUGAGCUUGCAAAGAAAUACUCUUGUAUUGUGUUUGUAGCUUGCAUGAGAUUUGAAACAUCUAAAAAGAAGCUUCAGCAUAUGUCGUUCAAUGAUUUUCGAAUAUGUUGUGAAUCUAUAAUGGAACAUUGGACAUAUAAUUUAGCAGGUACAGAAUAUAAUGAUUUAGAAAUGGAUAGAGAAUUCUUAUUUGAACUAAGAGAACUUAAAGCGCUCUUGGAUAAAGAUAGAGAGCAUAAACAAAAAACUUUCUUGAUCUGGAUAUGAAUUUUAAGCUGUAUACUAGAACAUUAUUGACUUUAGCUACUACUCUUCAUAGAUCCAGGGAUAUGAAGGACUUGUUCGUUGAUUUGGCUCAAAUUUCAGAAUAUUUCAAACAAGGAAAUUGGACCAACCAUGAUUUUGAACAGUUCCUUUUAGCUUAUGGUCACUGUGCAAAUGAAGUUGAACCUUUAAGGAGUAAUUCGGCAUUGAAAUUUAGCUGGGAAAAGUUUAUGAAAGUUAUUACAAAGUGUUUAUUAGUAAUAUAUAAUUAAAACGUUUUGAAAUGUCUUCAUAUUAGAAUGUAAAUAAAAAUAGUGUAGCAUAUGAUUUUCUAAACCCUUAAUAUUUUUUUGAAUAAUAAAUGUUGAAGUAAAAUGAA
Molecule: unclassified non-coding RNA, 1295 nt
Filed under: Leptinotarsa decemlineata (Colorado potato beetle)
Lineage: Eukaryota; Metazoa; Arthropoda; Insecta; Coleoptera; Chrysomelidae
Description: acidic fibroblast growth factor intracellular- binding protein, transcript variant X1
Source: RNAcentral